Molecule: transfer RNA, 57 nt
Filed under: Phytophthora infestans T30-4
Lineage: Eukaryota; Oomycota; Peronosporomycetes; Peronosporales; Peronosporaceae
Rfam family: tRNA
About the family: Transfer RNA (tRNA) molecules are approximately 80 nucleotides in length.
Source: Rfam by way of RNAcentral
UAGCUCAAUGGUCGAGCGUUGGCUUUGGAAACCUCAGGUCGGUGGUUCAAAUCCACC